RNAcentral lists this ribosomal RNA (466 nucleotides) under uncultured bacterium. Its description in RNAcentral is "partial 16S ribosomal RNA". It matches the Rfam family "Bacterial small subunit ribosomal RNA", at positions 28 to 507 of the family's 1533-position model. The record is from RNAcentral.
GACGAACGCUGGCGGCGCGCCUAACACAUGCAAGUCGAACGAGCGAGAGGAGGUUUACUUUCUCAAGCGAGUGGCGAACGGGUGAGUAACGCGUGAGGAACCUGCCUCAAAGAGGGGGACAACAGUUGGAAACGACUGCUAAUACCGCAUAAGCCCACGACCCGGCAUCGGGUAGAGGGAAAAGGAGCAAUCCGCUUUGAGAUGGCCUCGCGUCCGAUUAGCUAGUUGGUGAGGUAAUGGCCCACCAAGGCGACGAUCGGUAGCCGGACUGAGAGGUUGAACGGCCACAGUGGGACUGAGACGCGGCCCAGACUCCUACGGGAGGCAGCAGUGGGGAAUAUUGCACAAUGGGGGAAACCCUGAUGCAGCGACGCCGCGUGGAGGAAGAAGGUCUUCGGAUUGUAAACUCCUGUUGUUGAGGAAGAUAAUGACGGUACUCAACAAGGAAGUGACGGCUAACUACGUG